AGAGCGAACGCUGGCGGCAGGCUUAACACAUGCAAGUCGAGCGGGCGUAGCAAUACGUCAGCGGCAGACGGGUGAGUAACGCGUGGGAACAUACCUUUUGGUUCGGAACAACACAGGGAAACUUGUGCUAAUACCGGAUAAGCCCUUACGGGGAAAGAUUUAUCGCCGAAAGAUUGGCCCGCGUCUGAUUAGCUAGUUGGUGAGGUAACGGCUCACCAAGGCGACGAUCAGUAGCUGGUCUGAGAGGAUGAUCAGCCACAUUGGGACUGAGACACGGCCCAAACUCCUACGGGAGGCAGCAGUGGGGAAUAUUGGACAAUGGGCGCAAGCCUGAUCCAGCCAUGCCGCGUGAGUGAUGAAGGCCCUAGGGUUGUAAAGCUCUUUUGUGCGGGAAGAUAAUGACGGUACCGCAAGAAUAACGCCCCGGCUAACUUCGUGCCAGCAGCCGC
Molecule: ribosomal RNA, 449 nt
Filed under: uncultured bacterium
Lineage: Bacteria
Description: SSU rRNA
Rfam family: Bacterial small subunit ribosomal RNA
Source: RNAcentral